CACUAAGCGGAGGAAAAGAAACUAACCAGGAUUCCCCUAGUAACGGCGAGUGAAGAGGGAAUAGCCCAGCACCGAAGCCUGCGGCAGGUUUGCUGUUAGGCAAUGUGGUGUUUAGGUCGGCUCGUGGGAUUGCCACUCCAUUCGAAGUCCAGCAUUGAGUAUGGUCUCUUGGAUUUGGCCCAGAGAGGGUGAAAGGCCCGUACGAAUGGAGGUCUCAGACAAGUGAGGCAAUUCACCAGGUCGGCUUUCGAGUCGGGUUGUUUGGGAAUGCAGCCCAAAGUGGGUGGUAAACUCCAUCCAAGGCUAAAUACAAGCACGAAUCCGAUAGCGAACAAGUACCGUGAGGGAAAGUUGAAAAGUACUUUGAAAAGAGAGUAAACAGUACGUGAAACCGCAUAUAGGUAAACGGGUGGCGUCAAGCUGUAAGCCCGGAGGAUUCAGUCGGUUAGGAUGUUGUGUAUGCGCCUGGCGCAUCUAUCAGUCGGAAUAGGAUGUGGUAGUCCACUGGAAUACGGUGGGCCUGGCGAUUCUUCGUCGGGAUAUGCGUACCGGGUGGAAGCCGGAGCAUGCUACUCGUCUGUUGGACUGCCUAGCCGGUGCAAUUCCUCUGUGGUGAACACCACGACCGGUGGUAUUGCCAGUCUGCUCUAGUCAAGUCGUGUGUGGCCAGCUCUCUGAGUUGGUUGCAUGCGAUCACAGGCAAACUCGGUGCACGGCGUAAGGUCGUCUCGGCGGUCUUGCGUGUUAUCGGACAUCGGUUGUCAACGGAUCGUGUUGAUAGGUUGUUGCAUCCACUAUCAAUGGGUCUGGUGGGCUAGGGUGGUAUGAAUAACUGUGCAAGGCAUCGGAGUUCUCGGUCUCAAUUGUAGGCUGUAUCCAUGAUGCAAGUGGUCAUUGGUAAAUGAGGCAACGUUGCGGCCUGCUCGUUCUUCCUGGGUCUGAUUGUCGUGUCGCCUGCACAAAGUAGGCCCGGCAGUGGCUCGGGGCGGGAUGGAGUUGUCUGCGUUGUCUCGUGUGCAGCCUAUUGUGGACCAAACAGUCAGUGGUGUAGUGGUAGACGAGCUACCCGACCCGUCUUGAAACACGGACCAAGGAGUUUAACAUGUAUGCAAGUCAUGGGGUCCUACGAAACCCAAAGGCGCAGUGAAAGUGAAGCUUCGUAUUUUCUCGAAGUUAGGUGAGAUCCUGUCGUUACUCGCAUCCAGUGUGUUGUGUCAGCACCAGGUAAAGAGCGGCAGGCGCAUCACCGGCCCGUCCCAUGAUGUGGUCAUUGGAUUUCUACUGCAGCAGUCAUCUCGGUGGCUGUUGUGGUGCCAGUGCAUCAUCGGGGCGGAGCAUGAGCAUACAUGUUGAGACCCGAAAGAUGGUGAACUAUGCUUGCGUAGGUUGAAGCCAGAGGAAACUCUGGUGGAGGACCGCAGCGAUUCUGACGUGCAAAUCGAUCGUCAAACGUGAGUAUAGGGGCGAAAGACUAAUCGAACCAUCUAGUAGCUGGUUCCCUC
RNAcentral lists this ribosomal RNA (1502 nucleotides) under Zanobatocestus major. Its description in RNAcentral is "eukaryotic LSU rRNA". It matches the Rfam family "Eukaryotic large subunit ribosomal RNA", at positions 44 to 961 of the family's 3401-position model. The record is from RNAcentral. Lineage: Eukaryota; Metazoa; Platyhelminthes; Cestoda; Lecanicephalidea; Zanobatocestidae.